Molecule: long non-coding RNA, 570 nt
Filed under: Equus caballus (horse)
Lineage: Eukaryota; Metazoa; Chordata; Mammalia; Perissodactyla; Equidae
Description: lncRNA (ENSECAG00000053728.1)
Source: RNAcentral
CCUGUGGCAAGGGUACGGCAGACCUCCCGCGUGGGCUGAAGCUACAACGGGGAAAGCUGUAUGAGAAUCCAGGCUUGUUAGCGUUUUGGGCUUCCUGAUGACCCCUCGCCCCCCAGUAGAAAGUCUAUCAUCAGCUGUGACAGUGAAGGACGAUUACAUUCACCAGUUUCCAUCUCUGCUUGCUUGUGCUCCUUGAGGGCAUCUGUGAGGCCCGGGAUUCCUCACCACCUAUCAGAGAGAACCCGCAGCGGGUAGAGGAAAUGUCUUCCUCCCCUACAAUACCAUGCAUCGUUGACUGAAGUGUCAUUAGGCGGCACAUGACUGUAGAAGGGUUAAGCAUCUUUCCUUAGGCUAGAAACUGAUCGCUGCGCUCACCUGUGACCGCCCAGCUCAAGACAAUAGACUUGCCUCCUGCUACGCCCUCCAAGAUAGAAGACCACUACCUGCUGUGUCCAUCAAGCCCUGUGCCAACAGGGCAAUCUUGUGACUAUUGUGGGAGGGACAUUUCAAUCAUAUGUGAAACACCCUGUUUGAGGGUAUAUAACCACUCAAACCACUCCUUCGGGCCAU